Molecule: ribosomal RNA, 1277 nt
Filed under: Arthrobacter sp. bD10(2011)
Lineage: Bacteria; Bacillati; Actinomycetota; Actinomycetes; Micrococcales; Micrococcaceae
Description: bacterial SSU rRNA
Rfam family: Bacterial small subunit ribosomal RNA
Source: RNAcentral
GUGGACCGGGGGGAUCUCUAGAGAUUAGAGUUUGAUCCUGGCUCAGGAUGAACGCUGGCGGCGUGCUUAACACAUGCAAGUCGAACGAUGAACCUCACUUGUGGGGGGAUUAGUGGCGAACGGGUGAGUAACACGUGAGUAACCUGCCCUUAACUCUGGGAUAAGCCUGGGAAACUGGGUCUAAUACCGGAUAUGACUCCUCAUCGCAUGGUGGGGGGUGGAAAGCUUUUUGUGGUUUUGGAUGGACUCGCGGCCUAUCAGCUUGUUGGUGAGGUAAUGGCUCACCAAGGCGACGACGGGUAGCCGGCCUGAGAGGGUGACCGGCCACACUGGGACUGAGACACGGCCCAGACUCCUACGGGAGGCAGCAGUGGGGAAUAUUGCACAAUGGGCGAAAGCCUGAUGCAGCGACGCCGCGUGAGGGAUGACGGCCUUCGGGUUGUAAACCUCUUUCAGUAGGGAAGAAGCGAAAGUGACGGUACCUGCAGAAGAAGCGCCGGCUAACUACGUGCCAGCAGCCGCAGUAAUACGUAGGGCGCAAGCGUUAUCCGGAAUUAUUGGGCGUAAAGAGCUCGUAGGCGGUUUGUCGCGUCUGCCGUGAAAGUCCGGGGCUCAACUCCGGAUCUGCGGUGGGUACGGGCAGACUAGAGUGAUGUAGGGGAGACUGGAAUUCCUGGUGUAGCGGUGAAAUGCGUAGAUAUCAGGAGGAACACCGAUGGCGAAGGCAGGUCUCUGGGCAUUAACUGACGCUGAGGAGCGAAAGCAUGGGGAGCGAACAGGAUUAGAUACCCUGGUAGUCCAUGCCGUAAACGUUGGGCACUAGGUGUGGGGGACAUUCCACGUUUUCCGCGCCGUAGCUAACGCAUUAAGUGCCCCGCCUGGGGAGUACGGCCGCAAGGCUAAAACUCAAAGGAAUUGACGGGGGGCCGCACAAGCGGCGGAGCAUGCGGAUUAAUUCGAUGCAACGCGAAGAACCUUACCAAGGCUUGACAUGGGCCGGACCGGGCUGGAAACAGUCCUUCCCCUUUGGGGCCGGUUCACAGGUGGUGCAUGGUUGUCGUCAGCUCGUGUCGUGAGAUGUUGGGUUAAGUCCCGCAACGAGCGCAACCCUCGUUCUAUGUUGCCAGCGCGUGAUGGCGGGGACUCAUAGGAGACUGCCGGGGUCAACUCGGAGGAAGGUGGGGACGACGUCAAAUCAUCAUGCCCCUUAUGUCUUGGGCUUCACGCAUGCUACAAUGGCCGGUACAAAGGGUUGCGAUACUGUGAGGUGGAGCAAU